UUGACCUCAAAUCGGGUGAGACUACCCGCUGAACUUAAGCAUAU
Molecule: ribosomal RNA, 44 nt
Filed under: Lactarius deliciosus
Lineage: Eukaryota; Fungi; Basidiomycota; Agaricomycetes; Russulales; Russulaceae
Also listed under: 38 other names
Description: partial 28S ribosomal RNA
Source: RNAcentral